RNAcentral lists this long non-coding RNA (342 nucleotides) under Trifolium pratense (red clover). RNAcentral's name for it is "long non-coding RNA (TPRA_LNC009252)". Lineage: Eukaryota; Viridiplantae; Streptophyta; Magnoliopsida; Fabales; Fabaceae. The record is from RNAcentral.
UAAUAUUGUUACUGUUAGAGUUUGUUGGGGUGAGGAACAGGGUCUCAGUGGUUCUGGUUGGAAGUUCUCUUGUUGUAUGUCUUGCCUUUGUAGUUAAUCAUUUUAUUCUCUUCGGAAAAAAGUCAGGUCUUCUUGUUGUUUAGGUGAUGAGGGUGUUCUUGUUUUUUGAAAUUGGUGUGCUUGCUGUUUUUUCUUCUUGCCUGUGUAGUUUUUGUGUUUUGUGUUUUCUAUGGGGUUUGUCACUUUUGGAAGUCUGAAGACGGGGAGAAUUUUCCUGUGGAGACAGGAUGAGAGAAGAAAGUCUCUCCGAUGGAGGUUUCGAGAUGAGAGUAGAAUGUUAUC